CCUACGGGUGGCAGCAGUGAGGAAUAUUGGUCAAUGGUCGGGAGACUGAACCAGCCAAGCCGCGUGAGGGAUGAGGGUACAGAGUAUCGUAAACCUCUUUUGUCAGGGAACAAAGGCGGGGACGUGUCCCCGGAUGAGUGUACCUGAAGAAAAAGCAUCGGCUAACUCCGUGCCAGCAGCCGCGGUAAUACGGAGGAUGCGAACGUUAUCCGGAUUGUUUGGGUUUAAAGGGUGCGCAGGCGGUCUGUAAAGUCAGCGGUAAAAGCCCGGGGCGCAACCCCGGCCCGCCGUUGAAACUGGCAGUCUCGAGUUGGAGAGAAGUAUGCGGAAUGCGCGGUGUAGCGGUGAAAUGCAUAGAUAUCGCGCAGAACUCCGAUUGCGAAGGCAGCAUGCCGGCUCCACACUGACGCUGAGGCACGAAAGCGUGGGUAUCGAACAGGAUUAGAUACCCGAGUAGUC
RNAcentral lists this ribosomal RNA (459 nucleotides) under uncultured bacterium. Its description in RNAcentral is "partial 16S ribosomal RNA". It matches the Rfam family "Bacterial small subunit ribosomal RNA", at positions 338 to 795 of the family's 1533-position model. The record is from RNAcentral.